AUGGUGAAGGUGAAGGCCAGAGUGAACAGAUUUGGCCGUACUGGGUGCCUGGUCACCAAGGCUGCUUUUAACUCCGGCCAAGUGGAUAUUGUCACCAUCAAUGACCUCUGCUUGACCUCAAUUACAAGGUCUACAUGUUUCUGUACGACUCCACCCAUGGCAAGUUCCAUGGCAUUGUCAAGGUUGAGAACAGGAAGCUUGUCAUCAAUGGAAAUCCCAUCACCAUCUUCCAGGGGAAAGAUCUCACCAAAAUCAAAUGGGGCGAUGCUGUCACUGAUUAUGUAGUGGAGUCCACCAGUGUCUUCACUACUUUGGGAAAGCCUGGGGCUCACGGGGGGAGCCAAAAGGGUCACCAUCUCUGUCCUCUCCGCCGACACCCCCAUGUUUGUGAUGGGUGUAAGCCAUGAGAAGUACCAGAACAACUUCACGUUUGUCAGCAAUGCCUCCUGCAACACCAACUGCUUAGCUCCCCUGGCCAAGGAUAUCCAUGACAACUUUGGCAUCAUGGAGGGACUCAUGGCCAUCAUUCAUACUAUCACUGCCACCCUGAAGACUGUGGAUGGCCCCUCUGGGAAGCUGUGGUGCAACAGCCAUGGGGCCCUCCAGAACAACAUCCCUGCAUCCACCAGAGCUGUCAAGGCCACGGGCAAGGUCAUUCUCGAGCUGAACAGGAGGUUUACGGGCAUGGCCUUCUGUAUCCCCACUGCCAGUGUGUGUGUUGUGGAUCUGGCCUGGCAUCUGGAGAAGCCUGCCAAAUAGAAUGACAUUAAGAAGGUGCUGAUCAGGCAUCCGAUAGCCCCCUCAAAGGCAUCCUGGGCUACACCAAGCACCAGGUUGUGCUCUCUGACUUUAACAGUACCACCCACUCUUCCACCUUUGAUGUUGGGGCUGGCAUUGCCCUCUAUGACCACUUUGUCAAGCUCAUCUCUUGGUAUGAUAAUGAGUUUGGCUACAGCAACAAGGUGGUGGGCCUCAUAGCCCACAUGACCUCCAAGGAGUAAAAGCCCCUGGACCACCAGCCUCAGCAAGAGCAUGAGAGGAAGAGAGAAGCCCUCAAAUGCUGGCUGGGGAGUCCCUGCCACACUCAGUCCCCAACCACACUGAGAAUCUCCCCUUCUCACAGUAUCUAUGCAGACUCCCUGAAGAAUGGGAGAGGGGACCUAGGGAGCCCCACCUCAUCAUGUACCAUCAAUAAAGUCCCUGUACUC
Carlito syrichta (Philippine tarsier) is the source of this 1208-nucleotide RNA transcript. It is a transcript of the gene named glyceraldehyde-3-phosphate dehydrogenase pseudogene, with no coding region annotated. The transcript has a single exon. The record is from RefSeq and is a predicted model, not a curated record. NCBI's taxonomy places the organism in Eukaryota, Metazoa, Chordata, Mammalia, Primates, Tarsiidae.